RNAcentral lists this small RNA (382 nucleotides) under Pongo abelii (Sumatran orangutan). Its description in RNAcentral is "retained intron". The record is from RNAcentral. Lineage: Eukaryota; Metazoa; Chordata; Mammalia; Primates; Hominidae.
GGAGCAUCCGUGCUAAGGAUGCCGCCUUUGCCACACUCGUGUCAGACAGGUGGGUGCCGCUAGUGUUGGCUUCCCAGGGACUGGGUGGUUGAGGUGGGCCUGAGACUGCUGCUCUGAUUGGGCCGGGCCCUGCAGGUUCCUCAGGGAUUACUGUGAGCGAGGCUGCUUUUCUGAUUUGGAUCUCAUUGACAACCUGGGGCCAGCCAUGAUGCUCAGUGACCGACUGACAUUCCUGGGAAAGUAUCGCGAGUUCCACCGUAUGUACGGGGAGAAGCGUUUUGCUGACGCAGCUUCUCUCCUCCUGUCCUUGAUGACGUCUCGGAUUGCCCCUCGGUCUUUCUGGAUGACUCUGCUGACAGAUGCCUUGCCCCUUUUGGAACAG